CCUACGGGAGGCAGCAGUGGGGAAUAUUGCGCAAUGGGCGAAAGCCUGACGCAGCGACGCCGCGUGAGGGAUGAAGGUCCUCGGAUCGUAAACCUCUGUUAGCAGGGAAGAACGGUCACUGUGCUAAUCAGCAGUGAAUUGACGGUACCUGCAAAGGAAGCACCGGCUAACUCCGUGCCAGCAGCCGCGGUAAUACGGAGGGUGCGAGCGUUAAUCGGAAUUACUGGGCGUAAAGCGCUCGUAGGCGGUAUGUCAAGUCAAGUGUGAAAUCCCCGGGCUCAACGUGGGAACUGCCUUUGAAACUGGCGAGCUGGAGUGUGUGAGAGGAUAGUGGAAUUCCAGGUGUAGGAGUGAAAUCCGUAGAUAUCUGGAGGAACAUCAGUGGCGAAGGCGACUAUCUGGCACAUAACUGACGCUGAGGAGCGAAAGCGUGGGGAGCAAACAGGAUUAGAUACCCCAGUAGUC
This 465-nucleotide ribosomal RNA is filed under the name uncultured bacterium. RNAcentral describes it as "partial 16S ribosomal RNA". It matches the Rfam family "Bacterial small subunit ribosomal RNA", at positions 338 to 795 of the family's 1533-position model. The record is from RNAcentral.